Molecule: transfer RNA, 85 nt
Filed under: Xylanimonas protaetiae
Lineage: Bacteria; Bacillati; Actinomycetota; Actinomycetes; Micrococcales; Promicromonosporaceae
Description: Xylanimicrobium sp. FW10M-9 tRNA-Tyr
Source: RNAcentral
GUCAGUGCUGGUCGAAGAUGCGGUAACGUUUGACUGUAAAUCAGACGCGAAAGCUUCGGGGGUUCGAAUCCCUCACCUGGCACCA